AGUGUACAUUAAAAAAUUUAACCAAAAUAUAAGCCCAAAAAUAUCUAUAUACAAAGUUUUAAGUUUAGCUAAAAAAAUGGUUCAAUAUUUUGAUGAAUUGUUCUGAAAAUUAUACACACUUUCCUUCCUAAGGUGAAAAAUCUGCAGAGACCCAGGUGGACAAUGAUUGUCCUGAUUGGGCCCUGAUCCAGACUUUGGACACAGCUGGUCUGUGAUCAGGUGUUAAUGCAGCAAACAGGGAGGAGGACCAGGAGGAGAAGGAGGAGGAGGAGAAGACGGUGGCAGUUCAUCAGCAUGAAGUCACGACUGGGUUUCUCCAUGUUGGUUUUUGUGACACGGAUGUAGCUGUCAGAUGUUUGCUGACUGUGGGGAUGGAUGUCAGCAGGUUGCUAGACAACUUGUGAACCCGGUGGUGUUUGUGUGUUUGAAGAGCCACAGGGUAAAUAUUUCAUCUGGCAGUGAACACACCAAUCGCACGGGAACAACGAGGAGACGGAACAAAUGACGUCUAAAUAUACUCCGGUGACAAACAGUCCAAAUACAGUAGCAACCCAACUGUGAUGAGGGGGUGGUGCUGAGGAGAGAGCAGAGCUCCAGCUCCAAAGUCCUGCUCUCAGAUCUGGACUCAGUCACUCAGUCAGUCAGGAGGAGGUGGAGGAGGAGGAGGAGGAGGAGAAGAACAGGAGGA
Long non-coding RNA from Cynoglossus semilaevis (tongue sole), 688 nucleotides. RefSeq lists it as uncharacterized. The transcript has 3 exons. The record is from RefSeq and is a predicted model, not a curated record. Lineage: Eukaryota; Metazoa; Chordata; Actinopteri; Pleuronectiformes; Cynoglossidae.